This is a long non-coding RNA of Monodelphis domestica (gray short-tailed opossum), 2357 nucleotides long. The record is from Ensembl. NCBI's taxonomy places the organism in Eukaryota, Metazoa, Chordata, Mammalia, Didelphimorphia, Didelphidae.
UUUUGAUUCUAUAACAACUAUGGAAAGUAGGAGAUAUUAUCCUUGUUUUACAGAUAACAAAAUUGGGACUGAGGAAGGUCAAGUGACUUGUCCAAAUUCACACAGUUAGUAAAUAUACAAACUACAUUUGAAUUCAAGUUUUCUUGACUCUGAGCCCAUUGUUCAAUCCAUUGUACCACCCAGUUGCAUAGGGUCACACAGCCAGUUGGUGUCAGAGUGACAAUUGAAUCCAUAUUUUUUGGCUUUGAGGUCAGAUUGCUACCCUUUACAUUAUGCUGACUCUGAAUUUCUGUAUCUACAUAUCUUUUAUUUAUCUCUGUGUCUAAUAUUCUGUCUUUCUAUGUCAUAAUAGAAUAAUCUAGAUUCACAUUAUUCUUUGGAAAUGGAUUAUGACCUUGGCUCCAACCAGCCAUAGGAUAUAAGUUGCAGAGAGAAUGCUUACUUGGAUUGGUAGAGGUAGUUUCCUAUGCCAAUGAAGUCAUAGGUCCAUAUAUCCCUAAUUCAUAUGACAAAGUAACUUGGAAGCCUUCCCUAAUGUUUCCUGGGGUUCUACCAGUUCUCAUCGCAGCUUGCUGGUGGUUUUUCCUCUUGUGUGCACUUGGUUGGUUGCUAUGCAUGUAUGUCAAAACUGCUUCCCCACUCUGUAGCUCUCUUGAUUACCCGUCCUCAUGCUUGUCUUCUAUGAGCUUCAUGCGUCACCUUUCACGUUGGUGUGCCUACCCUUGGUUUCUUUUUCUCCAUGUGUGUAAUUCUUUCUACUCUGUCACUCCCUCAAAAGUGAUAGAGUCUAGGUUGUCAGUCACAGGGUGGUCCUAAGGUGCAGGUCAGAGUUAGAGAAAGUCACACAAUCACCUGACUUUCCCUAACUCAUCUGCAUUUUCUGCACUUGUCUCCUUUCCCUAGCUCAAAGCAGCUGUGCCAGAAAAAAGUCUCCGGCUCAAGAGAACUCUUCAUCAAACCCCUCUCUUAAAACCUUCAGUGUCUUACUUCUGGUUCUCUCUGGCUCAAGACUCGACCUCAGGCUAGGUCAUAGGACCUAGUCUAAUAGUCACAGGAGACAGAGAAAAGGAGGCUUUUGGCAUCCUCCCUCAGUACACAUCAUACACAUGCCCAAUCAAAGGGUGAGGCUGAUACCAACUAUGAUGGGUUUUCAAAACUUUCCUUUUAAAAGAAGAAAGAGGAGUACAAUUUAUAUUAAUUUCAUGCAUGUCUAUUGUGAAUCUUGAAAUUUCUCAGACUUGUGAAUGUUAAAAAUUUCCCCAUUGGGGAAUUCUCCAUUGGAACAAUUCCCUACUGGGAACAUUCCCCAUUUGGACAGUGAGAACUCUACUUGGAUUAGAAAUGGGAGGACCUCUACUCCACCCGCACUUAAGACUGCUUUAGGGGAGAAAACUUGCUAAACAAUGAAAGUACUUGGACCCAUACUUAUAAUGAGGCAAAAAGUUCUUUAAGCCAUGCCUGUUUUUAGAAUUAAUACAAUGGGGUGCUAAGUACCUAUUAAAGGUCAGGCAACUUGUGAACUUACAAGGAGCAAAGAGGUGAAAACUUACUCAGAGCUUUCCUGAUGUGAAUUACUCAGAAGUUUUAGUCUACCCAGAAAAAAAAGACAGCAAAAUGUGAAUUAAGAAUGGUCUGUCCUUUGAAAAACGUCUACUGUGAUUGGUGGAUGUAAGAAUUUAGGGGAGGUGACAAAGGAGAAAUUGCCCUAUAUAAGGAGAUGAGAAAUCUGAGUAAAAAAAAGUCAGCUGGGAAAGGCUGAAUUGAAGGAGGCAGCUGGCCAAGGCUGCCUUGAAGGGUCUCUGUCUCGGGACUCUCUCGGGGACACAGUCUGAAACAUUCAGAUUGAGGAUUGAGCUGGUAAAAGCAGCUGAGAUGAUGCUGGCCUGGUGUCACUAGAAUCCUUGCUUAGACAGACCUUGUGGUGAGUGAUAAAAGACUGACUGAUCUCUCUUAAGACUCAGGUCUAGGCCAUGUUGGCUUAAGGCCCUUCAUACUUAUUCCUUUCUUACUCUUUCUCUCUUUCUUUAAUUCCUCAUUGUAUUACUAAUUAAAUUCUCUAUAAAACCCAGUUGACUUGGGUAUAUUCAUAAUUGGGAAUAUUUCCCUGGUGACCACCUUAUAUUUGAUUUAAAACAAGACACUGUGGUGAAAACAUAUUUUCUGUGGUCACAAUUUACUCUUAUAUCUACUACAAUUUAAGUCUUCCACAUUUUAUCACUACAGUUUACAACCUCAAUUAUUUUAAAUAUAACACUAUGGUUCUUUUUUUCAUCUACACUCAGGGCUGUGCUGGUAAAUGUUUUACAAUGCUCCCCACUCUCCCAAUAAACAUAGCACCCCUUAAAGUUUAGUCUGCA